Molecule: long non-coding RNA, 9259 nt
Filed under: Salvia miltiorrhiza (redroot sage)
Lineage: Eukaryota; Viridiplantae; Streptophyta; Magnoliopsida; Lamiales; Lamiaceae
Description: long non-coding RNA (SMIL_LNC012449)
Source: RNAcentral
CCGGGAAAACCAUGACUGGGGAAGGGAAAUUACGAAGCGGGUUUAGAAAGGGGUGCAUAAAAGAAUACUCAAAGAGCUUGGAUACGCGUGAAAUAUUCCUUAAAAAGGAAAAAGGCAUAGUUCGCAUAAAAAGGCUACUCAAAGAACUUGUAUACGCGUUAUAUUCCUUAAAAAGGAAAAAGGCAUCGUUAGGGGCUUGGCUAAAACAUUAUCAGAGUUUGCAACGGAAGGCGUAACUGAAAUAAUCAGUGUUUACAGCGGAAUGCAUAACUGAGAUACAUGUAUGAAGACAUGUAUCCUUUCUGAGCCUACUUUAGGUUCGACAAAAACUCCACUCAGCAACAACACUUCAUCGCCCAUCACAGCUCAACCUGCACAAACAUAAACAUCGGAGGGCUAAGUACAAGAGUACUUAGUGGGCAGUUGCCAAGCAUAUAACAUAACAUCAUUAACAAUUUCACAAUAUCGCAUAAGAGGCAUGAGUUUCUUUCAUAUCCUUUGCUCAUUAAAUAUUUUCAAAUUCAUAAACAGCAUAAGGGCAUUCUUCAUCAUCAAUCUUCAUUAACAAACAUCGUGUCGUGGAGAAGGCCUUCCCCAACGAACACGGGCAUCGCGCCGUGAAGGGGGCCUCCCUCAGCGGUCACGGCAUCGUACUAUUGAGGGAGGCCUCCCCCAAUAGACGCUAUAACACUGGCAUACUGGCAUACUGGCAUACUGGCAUCGUGCCACGAGAGAGGCCUCUCUCAGCGGACACGGGCAUCGCGCCGUGAGGAAGGCCCUCCUCAGCGGACACGGCAUCGUACUGUUGAGGGAGGCCUCCCCCAACAGACGCAAGCAUCAAACAUAAGCAUAAACUUAUCAACGUAAAGCAUUCAAGCGUAAAUAAGCGUAAUCAAGCGUAAAUCAUUUAACGUAAAGCAUAAUAAAGCAUACCAUACUUGAAGAUCCAAUUUGCAUUAUAAAGCAUAACACAUGCAUAGCAUUUUAUUUACGCGUAAGAAAUUGCCCACCUGAUAGCAAAGUUUUGCUAAGGUACUCUAACUCCUUGUGUAGUUCUUACUCUCGCGCUUGACCUUAAUCACGAGAAUAUAAAAUAAGACAUUGCCUCGAGGAAAAUUCUUAAUUAAUGAGAAAGCGUAAUUUAACUAUGCAUGAAUCUGGUAUGCAUGAACUAAUACUCUGAGCGAUAAUCGGGAAUUCUACUAUUAAUCCUCGUUAAUAGAUUUAACUAAUUCUCGUCUAACGCGGUCGAAUAAAACUGUGAUCCUUCAUUUUCCAUCGAAAUAUUCUAAUUGUAAAAUAAAUCUCGCCUUUGUACUCGAUUGAAAAUAGGACUAACUCGGCUUUUCUCAAGAUGUGACCUUGUAGAAACUAUCGAGCUUUUCGAUAGAAGCAUAAUUACUAACGUAACCUCAAAUAAUUAAUCGGCUCAAAAGAGAGUAGCCAAUUAAUUAAGUAAACCAAUGGCUUUAAUGAAAAAAAAACAAUGAUAGCUCGCUUUAAAGUCUGAAAUCCAAAAACAAUAAUUAAUAAACUGGGCUGCUCAUUUACUGAAUAAGUAAUUUGGGCUCCAUCAACAUAGAUACUGCUAGGCUUAAUUAAAAGUAGUAACUUCAGCCCAAGCUUUAAAAGAAUUAAAGCCCAACUAAAAAAAAUGUCUUCGGCCCAAAUGAAUAAAUAAAGGCCCAACAGAAAUAAAAUAAAACAGGGCCAAUUUAAAUAAAAUAACCAAGGCCCAAUUGAAAUAAAAAUAAAGGCCCAAAGAAAUAAAAAUAAAAACAAGGCCCAGCUCUGCCUCAUUUCAGCCCUCUCUUUCUCAUUUUCAAAUCAGUCGGCCCAAUUGAAUAAAUAAAAAGUUAGGCCCAACUAUGAGUUAAAUGGGGAAAGCCCAAAAGAAUUACUCUCUCUCUCUCUUUCAAGAACAGUCGGCCCUCAUCUCUCUCAACAAUCAGUCGAGAACUCCUACCCCAGAACAGUCGGCCUCCCUCAACAUCAGUCCAGGCUCCAGACGCCGUCUCUGCUCCGACCGGCGUCGGCUGCCGCCGAGCCUAGGCCCGGCGUGGUCGCUCCCGCUUCUCUCUCCUUAUCUCCGAAAAACAGCCGGCCCCUUUUUCUCAAUGAUCAGUUGCGGUUUCUCUUCACGGAAGGGUUCACCGGCGCGGCUUCGGAAUUCGGCGAGGUCGACGGUCAGACGAACCUUCUGCCCUCGUCUCACUUCCUCCUUAGUUCACCAUAUCAGCCAACGGCGUCAUCGAGCCCUAAUUCUCUAAAAUACGACGCGACCUGUCAGCCCUUUUCUCGCCUGAAAUCGCCGGCGACGCUGCCGUAUUCCGGUCUCUCUCGUUGCACUGUUGCGUCCGAAAUUGCCUCUGUUGUCGUCUCUCAAAUUAGAGCAGGGCAGCAGCCCUAAUUUUCCUCUCCGAUUUUGAACCGCCAUCUCCUUCGCGUUCCUCCGGCGACCAGGGAAAGGUCCGCCUUCGUUGUUCUCCGGGGUCGAUGGGGUUCGAGUUGCGUCACGCCGCCGCUGCUGCCGUUCUCGGACUUCGCCGUGACAGCAAGAGCUGUCGUCUUAAUCUUCGUCACGGCUCGGCUGAAUAGGGCAGUCGCCCCCUUCCCAUUCGAAGCUAAGUUCUCAUCUCAAUUCGAUUAAAAGUCCUAGUUUUUGUGAUCGUGAGUUCUCGUAAAUGUUAUUCUAGAGUGCAGUGAAAGUGAAGCAUAUAAUUCCUUCUGUUGUAAAGUAAUUCUCUAUUGUACAACAUAUCUUGACUAUUUCGUGAUGAACUGUGAUUAUGCAAGGGAUUAAUGGCGUGUGGCUUUGCUACUGCAUCAUAAAAUUCUCAUGCAUAUAUCCUAUGAAAAGAAUACAUAUACAUACUGAUUGUAUAUGCAGAUGCCUUGAUGAGAUAUUGAAUGUGUAUGCCUUGUUCAUGUGGUGAGUUGAAACUGGAACAAUUGGUUGUUUAAAACAUACUGUAAAAAUGAAAUCGGCGAGAAGGUUACAAGAUGGAACCUUAAGUUGAGCUGCUGAAAACCUGAAUGUUUGUUCUUUUAGCUGUCUGUGCUUUCUGAGUCUGCCAGAAGCUGAAUCAAAAUUCUUUCCCUUUGAGAGUUGGUACACGAAGGAAGAUAUGAAGGAGAAUUUGUUGAUUGAAAUUAUAGAAGAAAGGGUUGUUGGCUAAUAGUAUAAAGUGUGGAGUUGGUGCUGAUUACAUAAUGGGGAUAGUUGGUAGUGAAGUGGAAGAGUAGGUGUAGUGGUGGGGAAGCAAAGCUUGGUGGUAAGCCCACUUAUUUCUUUCUACUAGCUUUACACUUUUAUGCAAAGAGUUAGUGGCUGAGUAGGCCACGUAGAGUCUACAGCUUUUGUAAUAUACUAGACGAUUUUUCCCAAACUGGGAACUAGCCUGUAAUCUGUGAACUGUAAAUAAAUACUGGCUUCGAUUUUCAAUCAUCGCAUUUCUGUAUCCGUUUAGUAUCUGCUUCCUUGUUUCCAAUAUUGAAAAACUAUAAUAUGACUUAAAUCCGUAGAUUUAAUCUACGUUGCAGUCGGAAUAAUUCCUCGACUUCUAGUAGCACUAAUAAAAUAUAACUGCUUCUGUUUUUCGAUUAAUAAAUAACAUGACUUUGCUAAGUCAGUUAUAACUUGGAAAUAAUAAUUAUUGAAUGGCUCAAUAAUCUUUGUCGCGUUUUUCUCAUACGUUAUAAAAGUAUAAAGCUAAAAUAUUACUCCAUCUCUGAUAAAAAAAAUCAGAACUAUAAACUGGAUUCAUUUAUAAAAAUUGCAUUUACUAGUUUUAAUCAUAAUUAAAAGAGCGGGCUACUACAUACUACCCCUCUUAACAAAAAUUUCGUCCCGAAAUUUGCAUAUCUCUGCUAAAACAGUUCGGGGUAUUUUUCCUUCAUCUUGUCUUCAAGUUCCCACGUAACUUCUCUUGUCUGCGAUGUCUCCAUAAGAUUUUCACUGAUGUGAUUGAGGCUGAUUACGCAAGUGUCCACGUAUUGCUGGCAAGGGGGUGUGGGUGUUCCCAAUUGCUGAACCUCGUUGUCUGUUGGGGCAUUGCGUGGAGUAGUGACCUUUUUGGCCACAAUUGUAACAACCGUUAGUUCCAGCACGACAGACACCCCUAUGCAUCUUACCACAAUUUGGGCAAGGUGAAAUUCCUUUCUGACCUUGGUUACCUCUAGUUGGCUCGAGGUUAGUCUGUGCCUCGUACCUUUGUUGAACAUAUUGUUCAACCCGUUCAUUUUCUUGCGAUAUUGUCUUAUUAGUCUGAUUGAUAUUGUCUUCAUUGUUGUCCCACUUGCGCUUCCCUUUGAGAGUAUGCGAGGCUACUGGUGGAUCGUUUGGCGUUGAUAUUAAUGGUGGGGCUGACUUGUCCGACGGCAUUGCAGCUUCAAUGUCAAGUGCCCUGUUCAGAGACUCCGUGUAUGAGAGUCCUCCGUGGCUUGCUAAAGCCAUCUUAAUUUCGUGUCGCAGACCGACACAAAAUUUCUCUGCCAUCUUCUCAUCUGUGUCUACUUGUUGCGGAGCAAACCUCGACAGGUUGCAGAAUUCCUUGUCGUAUUCAACCACAGAUUUCUUUCCUUGCUUCAACUCGUAGAACUCAGCUUCUUUCUUCUUCCUAUAGCUUUUCGGAAUAUAUUUAUCAUAUAAUCCUGUCUUAAAAUCUUCCCAAGUAUAACUUGCCCAUUGUUCCGGUGUCAGAAUUUUUCGACGUGCUUCCCACCAGAAAUCAGCUGAUCCUGUUAGCUGGAAUGAGACGCAAGAUAGGCGCUCCUCAUCAGUACAACGUAGAAAGUUGAAAAUGCGUUCCAUUGCACGCACCCAAAUCUCAGCUUCAGCCGGUUCACUCAUUCCGUCAAACGUGGUGGACUUUGCCUUAAAAGAGUUCUCGACUCUCCUAGUGGGGCGAGGAUGGGUUAUGUCCUCGAGCAUCUUGUGAUUCUUCGGGUACAGCGUUACGGUUUCUGCGAUUGUUAUUGUUUCUCGCAGGGCGUCCUAUCUUAGGCGGCAUUCUGAUAGCAAGGAUGUGCCAAUUAGUACACUCUAGCAUAAUCUAAUACAAGCCUCAAAAGAAUUCUUGUACAUGUUAACUUAUUCUAACUUGUAAACAAGUCAUAACUCCAAUGACAACAUUGAUGUAGUAAGCUCUAAGGGUCCUUAGCAUCUCAUAUCCAUGAGUCAUAUCAAUUCUUAAACAUAUAAUAUCUCAUCAUCUAAAUUAGAUACUUAGGCAUAAGUCAUGGAGAUUCAUAGGGGCUAUAAAAUCACGAGCUUAAAAAUUAUUCUAUACGCAUCACUUAUCUUGCUUCUUUCACUAUAGCCACCAAAAGAUACAGUCGAAGUUCUUCUACGUUUGCUUAUAUGUUCUGUCGUAGUGGUGAUCUCAUAACUUAAUAGCUCUAUAUUCAUAGGGAUUCAUUCCAUAGGCAUACUUAAUCGUGCUUGCAUAAAUCAUUUCAUUCAAUAACAACAAAACAAAGCUAUUGACAGUUACUCACUUUGUUAUUACGAUAGUUCUCACUUUUUGUAAACAUUAACUCAAAACUUGGAAGAGCAUACCAUUCUGCUUCGUUGAGUGUGAUGCGAUGAAGUGCUGAGCUUUGUCGAUUGAACUCUAGACACUUUAGUGAUCCAUUCUAAGUUUGGCUUAAAUAAACUCUUAGGCUCAGAGCAAACGAACUGCUCUGAUACCACUCUGUCACGACCGGCCUUAAUUAGGGAUAAUUAAGUCGGGAAACCAUGACUGGGAAAAGGAAUUAAGAAGCGGGUUUAGAAAGGGGUGCAUAAAAGAAUACUCAAAGAGCUUGAAUACGCGUGAAAUAUUCCUUAAAAAGGAAAAAGGCAUAGUUCGCAUAAAAAGGGUACUCAAAGAANNNNNNNNNNNNNNNNNNNNNNNNNNNNNNNNNNNNNNNNNNNNNNNNNNNNNNNNNNNNNNNNNNNNNNNNNNNNNNNNNNNNNNNNNNNNNNNNNNNNNNNNNNNNNNNNNNNNNNNNNNNNCAAUCAUAAACACGCAUCGUGUCGUGGAGAAGGCCUUCCCCAACGAACACGGGCAUCGCACCGUGAGAGGGGGCCUCCCUCAGCGGUCACGGCAUCGUACUAUUGAAGGAGGCCUCCCCAAUAGACGCUGUAACACUGGCAUACUGGCAUACUGGCAUCGCGCCGCGAGAGAGGCCUCUCUCAGCGGACACGGGCAUCGCGCCGUGAGGAAGGCCCUCCUCAGCGGACACGGCAUCGUACUGUUGAGGGAGGCCUCCCCCAACAGACGCAAGCAUCAAACAUAAGCAUAAACUUAUCAGCGUAAAGCAUUCAAGCGUAAAUAAGCGUAAUCAAGCGUAAUUAAUGGCAUAUAUAUAAAGCAUAGCGUCAUAUUAAAGCAUAAUAAAGCAUACCAUACUUGAAGAUCCAAUUUGCAUUAUAAAGCAUAACACAUGCAUAGCAUUUUAUUUACGCGUAAGAAAUUGCCCACCUGAUAGCAAAGUUUUGCUAAGGUACUCUAACUCCUUGUGUAGUUCUUAUUCUUGCGCUUGACCUUAAUCACGAGAAUAUAAAAAAUAAGACAUUGCCUCGAGGAAAAUUCUUAAUUAAUGAGAAAGCGUAAUUGUAACUAUGCAUGAAUCUGGUAUGCAUGAACUAAUCUUCUGAGCGAUAAUCGGGAAUUCUAUUAUUAAUCCUCGUAAAUAGAUUUAGCUAAUUCUCGUCUAGCGCGGUCGAAUAAAACUGUGAUUCUUCCUUCCUCAUCGGAAUAUUCUAGUUGUGAAAUAAACCUCGCAUUUGUACUUGAUUGAAAAAAAGGACUAACUCGGCUUUAAACGAGGUGUGACCUUGUAGAAAUUAUCGGGCUUUUCGAUAGAAACAUCAUUACUAGCGUAACCUCAAAUAAUUAAUAGGCUCAAAAGAGAGUAGCCAAUUAAUUAAAUAAACCAGUGGCUUUAAAGAAAUAAAUGAUAAUAGUUCGCUUUAAAGUCCGAAGUCCAAAAACAUUAAUUAAUAAACUGGGCGGCUCAUUUACUGAAUAAGAAUCGGCUCGCUCACUGAUAAAUAAUUGGGCUUCAUCAAAAUAGAUACUGCAAGGCUUAACUGAAAGAAGUAACUUCAGCUCAAGCUUUAAAAGAAUUAAAACCCAACUUAAAAAGUCUUCGACCCAAAACAAUUAAAAUAGGGGUCCAAAUAAUAAUUAAUGUGGACUGAAAAGAAUUAAUCUUAGUCCAAUAGGCAAUUUAAUCGGCCCAAAUGAUGAAUUAAACUGGCCCAACGAAAUAUAAAUGGGAUUAGAAUAAUAGCCCAUCAUAAAAUAUGCAUCAGCCCGACUCCUUAAAUUAAUUCAAGCCCAAAAACACUUAAAAUCUGCAGCCCACCUAAAAAGAAGGCCCAGUUCGAAUUUAACAUAAGGGAAAAGCCCAAAUCUUGGCUUGCAAAACUUAAAAAUGUGAGGCCCAAACUUUAAAAUAAUUGAAGCCCAAAUAAAGAAAAGAAUCAACCCAUCAUUUUAAACUCCAGCCCAACUAAUCAAAGUGGCCCAACCAAGAGAUGAAAUCUCGGUUCUUUCUCUCUCAUUUUCACGGCUUCUGUUCCUCAAUUCCUCCACCCAAAUCAGCAGCCUCUCUUCCCAAAUCUCGCCAGCGCCGCUCAAGACCUCUCUCUCUCUCUCGCCCGCUCUACGCGAGCUCCGCCGCGAACGGCUCCGGCGAGAACGACGGCCAGCCGAGGACAUCGCCCCUGGUCCAUUUCUCUCUCUCUCCAUCUACUUCCCUCUCUCAAUUUCUCACCCGAUCUGUCUCCCGCAGAUCUGCCGUCGCCGCUCCGUACUCUGACCAUUCCAGCCGCCGGCGAGGCCAGCGUUGCUCAGAACCCCGACGUCGGUCUGCUCCCUCAUCUCCUCUCUCUCGAUUUACCUCUCAAACUCGACUGAGAGGAGGAGCCCUAGCUUUCCCUGAGAUCGAAUCCUCCGCCGUUUCUGUAAGUCCGGCGACCGCUAGUUGUCGUUCCCCCUCCAAACUUGGUGUCUCGGCCUCAAAUCCGUGUUCGGGAAGAAGAGAGUGGAAGGGCGAGCCCUAAUCGUCAAAUACCAGGUCGCCGCUGCACCGCGUCUCCAUCAGAAUCUGAUGGCUGGUCGCCGUGGCUCUGUAAAUCCGGCAACUGACUGCCGGUUUCGCUCUCCUCCACGAAUCGCCGCCAUCUCCUUCGCGUUCCUCCGGCGACCAGGUAAAGUCCGCCUUCGUUGUUCUCCGGGGUCGACGGGGUUCGAUUUGUGCCACGCCACCGCCGCUGCUGCUACUGGAGGCCGGCUUCGCCGUUGCUGUCGCUGUUCCCGGCGAAGGGUGUCGCCUCGCCUACUCCUCGGCGCCGUUAAAUCCCGAUUCAGAGCAGGGCAAUCGGCCCUAUUUCUUAAGCUAAGUUCUCUAGUUUCAUUCUACUAUUGUAUCUUGAUUCAUUUGCUUAUGAUGUGAAAGUUUAAUACGAGGGGUUGUGGUUUUUCCUAAUUCCGUUUAUAAGCCGUGGAAAUUUUGCUACUGUGCUAAAUGAAUAACAGCGUUGUUAUAUGCUCGUCAAUGAGCCCUGUGUUGGAUUAUGAGCUAAGGUGUAUUCUUUCUUUGUUUUGCAUAAACUACAUAUGCUUGUUGUUCUAGAGUGCAGCCUGUUUGUUGAAGUUUAUACUUUCUAUUGUACGAAAUAUCUAGGGCUAUUUGAUGUAGAUGAACUGUGAUAUGCUAGAUAUGGAUGCAAACUGAGUUGAAUAUUUGGGAUAUCAAAUUACCUUGAGUAUUUUGUGUUGGUAGCUGCUGUUGUUGAUAAUGAAUUCAAUGGAGAAGAAACUCUCGAUACUUGGCAGUUGGCAGCAGGAACUUCAUCUCCCUUUCUGGUGCUUGGUGUAUGAGAGAAGGAAUGAAGUAAGUGGAAAGUUUGGUGGAGAAAAAGGGUGGUGGUGCAGGCUAGUGCGUAGGUCUCAUUUUUGUUAAGUGGAGGUAGUGGUUGAUAAAUAAUUAGAUAGUGGAAGAUGAUUGUCUUAAGCAUGAUCUUCCUCCUAAAGCCAGCAAAUUCGAGAGUUUUAUUUUUUACCCAAAUGUACUGCGUCACUCUUGCUGCCAGUGGUGAGCUUAUAUGCAAAGAUUUCUUCUUGUACUCAGAAAAAAAAUCAAUUACUGCAUUGAUUGAUAGUGGUGGUUGAAGUUCUAAUUGUAAAUAAUAAUAAAUCUUUGUGUCUUGGUUACUCAGUGCAUCUACUAUUUAAUCGCGUGUUUGCAAUCAAAUAUUGGCUUC